GCUAGCUUUGCCUUUGGCUGCUUCGAUUCUAUUCCCAACUCGUCGUGUCGCAGGAGUAUUUAACCUCACCCGAUCACCGACGGCAGGCACUCCAGCCAGAUCAAACUCCGGGACCGAUCGACCCGACCGUCCCCAAGGCUCAAGCUUCCGCGCUCAUUCGCGCAGGCGGUCAGCUCCCCGCACGCCGCCGGAACACGAGCUCUGUUUCUACAUACACGAGCUCUAUUUCUGCAUUGCAGGUCGCCCGCGUCGGGUAUACAAGCAAAGCAAAGCGAAGCAAGCAAGGCGCAGCCAUGGAGAUGGUGCUGGUGAUCUCGCUGCCUCUGGUGGCCCUCGUCGUCAUCAUCGCCAUCAUCCUCUGCAUCAUCUGCCGCUGAUCGCCGACGCCGGCCGCGGUGGCGCGCACACCAUGAGUCGUUUGCAGCGUCGUCGCCGACACCCGUUCAUCAUCAUCAGGACCUGAUUUAUUUCGUGAUCACAGCGUAAUAACGUGCGUGCGUGCGUGCGUGUGUAUCCACUGUCGUCGGUGGUCUGGGGUGUGGAUUGUGAUUUGGAGUAUUGAUUAGUUUUGGACCUCUCCUGUCUUUUUCCUCUUUUUUUAUCCGACUCCAAAGGCAUCGGACACAGCAUCGUGCAUGCUGCGCGUCUGCACUAGGUUGUCUUCGUAACUAAGGAACUAGAGACUUCUCAAGCUUUUUCGAGUUUUUCAUUUUGGAUACAGAUUUGAGUAGAGUACUAUGCUGUAAUAAGCUCGUGUGAUCUCUUCUGUUGAGUGACGAAAUGGCCAGUGACUGAGAAGGAUCAGCCAGGCAGCCAGCAUAUAUAGCUGGCCUGGCUUCACUCUCACAGUCAAGCAAGCUCCAAGCACCGCCCAGCUUGGCUCGGCCGCGGCGCCACGCGGCACGUGGCACGCGUUUUUCGCUUGGUGUUUCUUCCUCCCCCGGCCGAUUAAUUUAACGGGCCCCCACCACCCAGAGCGGCCAUCGCCUUCUCCUUCCCUAUCUCGUCGCUGGCAUCUUGCCCCAGUUCUUCUCCCCCGUCGCCGUCCCCCCAUUACUGCGCCCUGUCGCCUCCCUCCCCCAGCUCGCUUCUCCAGCAAGAUCAGCAAGUACAGCGAGAAGAGCAGCUCGAUCCCGCGCAGGGAGAGACCGGAUGGAGUUCGUGCUGAUCAUUUCGCUGCCGCUCCUCAUUCUGAUCAUCAUCGUCGCCGUGGUCCUCUGCAUCGUCUGCCGUUAGCUGAAUGCCCCACAAAGAAACAUCCACCUCUGCCGUGAUCAUACCAUGUGCUAAAUUAACUUUUGUACAUCGUGACCUGAAAAAAACCUCUUCCUCUGCGUUGCCGUGUGAUUAAUCGGCUGUAGCUCUAUCCUUUAUUAUUUUUUAAUCCCUGUGCAAAAGGGGCUUCGAUUCUGCGUGUCAGACUGAUACAUAACCGACAUGCUGUGAGUCUGGAAUUGGGAGUUUUUGGGGUGUUUGGAUACAAGGUCACAUGCCGUGCUCUUUUGGUUCCUCUGCAAUCUGCAUCCUUCGAGGUCAGAAAUGUUCUUGAGCAGAUCUGACUCAAGACGCUUUGCGUCCGUGAGAAUCUGGGGUGAGCUGAGCGUCAACCUGCGCUUUGUGCUCUUUGUCGUGCCGCCCCACGAGGGGAAAGGCGCAAACGGGACCCUCUUUUUGUCAGGGAAGAAACGCAAAGAGAGGCCGCCGGCCGAAUCGAAAGAGGAACAGGUGCGCUCCCCUAUUGGCACGCCUUGUUCUCUUCGUGUGAUCAUCCAGUCAUCCAACGCCGCGUUGCCGACACUUACGUGACACAAAUCAGACAGGUACUCGAGACAUCUGAGAAACUCCUGGCCUUGCUGAGCUAGGGUGCCACCUGCCAGUGCAGCAUUUGAUGCUGGAUGUGAUGACUAUCCGGAACUGCAAACAGGACACAUAGGACGUCUCCGUCUUCAAUGGAAUAAAUCAGAUGAUAGCUCAUAGUUAAUACGAUCCUAGAUAUAAAGCACCUUUGAAGAUCGUGCUAUGAGAGAAUUGUAUUGAAAAGUGAGCGAGACUAGCUCUCACUUCACGCUAGAUAUAUUGCACUGUUCAACUAGUAAGAAAUUGAUUGAGCUAACUCUAAACUAGACCAUUGGAGACGCUCAUAGGCUAUCCCAUAUUACCUUCAGACAGGAUCCUAGAAGAGGCUGAAAACUCUUGUCUCUAUAUUGCGCAAAGAGUGAAAUGCACCACGUCCUUUAAACUUGUCGUGCUAUGCUAAAUAGGUUAGUUGAUAACGUAUUUUUGAACUUCAAACUUGAUAAUCGUGUCAAAUAUGUCCAAAUCCUAGCCAUUUGUACUAAAACACCGAUUACUCACGGUAAACUGCACGCGUGGCAAGCUGAGGCUGACUGGGACGCUAACGGGACCUGACACGUGGGCCCCACAUGUGAGACACACCUACCUUCUCCCUUUCUCUCUCUUCCCUCGUACUCAUCUAUCCGCCGCACCGUCGACGUUCGCUCUGUCCGUCGUGCUACCCAACCUUGCCCCGUCCUGCCUCCCUUGCGCCGCCAUGGACCCAUCCUCCUCUCUCCCCGUUCACCUCCCACCAGUGCACUGCCAUGGCUGAGUGGCUGCAGCAUGCAGCAAAUGGGGUGGGGGUGGCACCGAGCGGCGUGGCGGGAGUGGGGACGGCGGCUCCAAGCAAAGCGGUGGAGGCGACGGCGGCUCCGAGCAGCUCCGGCAGAGGAGGGGAUCCGCGCGCGCCCAUUGGCUCCUCCGGCGGCGACCACCAUCCAGCGGAGCUCCACGACGCAAGCGGCAGGCCGGGCUGGGUCGGGCCCGAGCGGCGCGCCUCGAACUCCGGGAAGCGGCGGCGUGCCUCAAGGUGAUGCCCAGCGCGAGCUGGCGGUGGCGGCGGCUAGCACGGCUGCACCCUGCGCGAGCGGACAAGGCCGAGGAUGCGGGCGGACGGCGGCGGCGGUCGUGCCUUGCUCCAGCGGACAGGAGCCCAAGGUUGCAGCCAACGCGAGCGGACGGUUGCGGCGCGAGCAGACGGCAAACGAAGCACGCGGCCCGGCGCGAGCGGACGGCGACGACGGCCUGGCCAGCGUGAGCAGCGGCGUUGGAUUGGUGUAGGUGGCCGGCCGGGGCUGCAUGCCGACGAGGGCCGCUCCGACCCCCGAGGUCGAGUGUGUGGUGGCCGGCAUGGCGGGGGAGGAGGAGGCCGGGCGGCGGCGGCGGCCAGGAAGGGGAAGGAGGCGGGCGGAGGUGCGAGGAAGGAGAAGGUAGGUGUGCCUCACAUGUGGGGCCCACGUGUCAGGUCCCGUCAGCGUCCUUGUCAGCCUCAGCUUGCCACGUCGGCGUUUUAAGACAAAUUGCUAGAA
Setaria italica (foxtail millet) is the source of this 3365-nucleotide long non-coding RNA. RefSeq lists it as uncharacterized. NCBI's taxonomy places the organism in Eukaryota, Viridiplantae, Streptophyta, Magnoliopsida, Poales, Poaceae. The record is from RefSeq and is a predicted model, not a curated record. The transcript has 3 exons.